AGAGUUUGAUCAUGGCUCAGGACGAACGCUGGCGGCGUGCUUUAUACAUGCAAGUCGAACGAGGACCGGGUGCUUGCACCCGGAGCCGAGUGGCGAACGGGUGAGUAACACGUGACCAAUCUGCCCUUGGGAGAGGGACAACCUGGGGAAACCCGGGCUAAUACCACAUUAUGUGCGGCCAUCGCAUGUUGGCGGCACCAAAGGGAGCCUCUUCUUGUAAGCUCUCGCCCAGGGAGGAGGUCGCGGCGUAUCAGCUUGUUGGUGGGGUAACGGCCUACCAAGGCGACGACGCGUAGCGGGUCUGAGAGGUCGAUCCGUCACAUUGGGACUGAGAUACGGCCCAGACUCCUACGGGAGGCAGCAGUAGGGAAUAUUGCGCAAUGGUCGAGAGACUGACGCAGCGUAGCCGNUAGUGGGAGGAANCCUCGGGGUGUAAACCACUGUCAGGUGGGAACGAACCNACGCUCGU
This 469-nucleotide ribosomal RNA is filed under the name uncultured bacterium. RNAcentral's name for it is "bacterial SSU rRNA". It matches the Rfam family "Bacterial small subunit ribosomal RNA", at positions 8 to 461 of the family's 1533-position model. The record is from RNAcentral.